This is a long non-coding RNA of Mercenaria mercenaria, 3173 nucleotides long. RefSeq lists it as uncharacterized. The record is from RefSeq and is a predicted model, not a curated record. NCBI's taxonomy places the organism in Eukaryota, Metazoa, Mollusca, Bivalvia, Venerida, Veneridae. The transcript is spliced from 3 exons.
AUAGAUGCCUUUACUGCGGCAAAUCCAACGGAAUAUGUGAAUCAUGCGUAGUCGGUUUUGGGGAAGUGUGUAUGAACAGAAUUGCACUUCAAACUGUACAGGACACUGCGAUAAAGAGAAAGGAACGUGUUUCUCUUGUAUACCGGGUUUAAUGGUUUCAACUGUGAUACUACAUGUGAAAAUAAUAACUGCGAAACUUGCAAACGCUAUGGUGACAGUCCUUCCUGUACAAAGUGCCGAACAGGAUACUGGGGCCAAAGCUGCGUUAGUGAGUGUAAGCCUGAUCAAUGCAUUGAAUGUCAUAUGGAUGACGGACGCUAUACUCUUUGUGAUGACGGAUUUUAUGGAACGUCAUGUCAUUUAAGGUGCCACGAAGGGUGUAAAUGCUGCAAUAGCACUUCCGGUACUUGUUCUCAAGAACAUUCCUGCUUUGGAACAAGUAGAAUGUACAACACAGCAGUGGUACCUGCGCAAGCAAACAACACCUUGGUUGCUGUUGGAAUUGCAUUAAAUGGCUGUUCUGUAGCAGUACUUUUCAUAGCUAUUGGCGCAUCGUGCAUUAUGAGAAGCCGAAGCAAACAGAAGGCUGGUGCAGCUACAUCAGAAAAAAACAACAUUGUUAAACAGAGUGUUUCGUAUACAGGUACGGCUUAUUACUCUGCUGCUCUUUCCUGAAGAAAGGAUACAUUGCAUCAUAGUUUUGAUACAUUUUAUGAUUGACACUGACCAGUCCUAAUUUACAAUGUUUCAGCGAUUUAAUAAAAGAUUCAAUGUCUCUACAUUGAUCAAAAUAUCUUUUUAAGCCAAGUGUUUUUAUUAUUAUAUUAUUAUGCUUUCUCGUUGUAUAAAUUCUUAUACGUUUAUAAAAAUGAUAAUUUGAAUAUCAAUUUUGUUCUUAACUUUUAUUAGUGGAUCGUAAGGGAAACGCCAAAGUUGAGGUACCGUCGUUUCAAGCUACAGAAAACAAUCGCACAUAUGAGAUUCUGGAAACAAACAAACCGUUUGAUAAAGAGAACUAUGCUGAUGUUCUCCAUAAAGAUGUGUUGUACGAAAAUACAUCUAUCUGAUAAGAAACCAUUACCUUUCGUCAUUUUCAGAAAAUAAAAAUAAAUAUGUUUUGAAAAUGAUCAUGAAAAUAAGUAUCAUAAAAAACAACAUUGGUUUCAAAUUGAAAGGCUUUGUUCACAUUCGUGUUUAGUAACUGUGCGUACAUAAUUCAAUGUAUAAUAAUUCGAGCAUCUUGUUUGGUUUUUGUUUCCACCCAUUUCUUUUGCACAUGCAUCUUGGAAUAUGAUUUUUAUAUUGGGCGACAAAACAAUUUUGACCAAGAGUAUUGACAGAUCCAAAAAAUAUUUACAUUCAAAACACUUGUUGAUGAAACGAUAAAGUUCGAUUACAUCUAUACGAUUUUAUUGAUUAAACUGUCCUAAGAGACGGUCGAUUGAACGCAAUAUUUUAUUGAUGGCACGCCGUCAUAUGAGAUAAAUCCAUUUUAGGGGACGUUUAAUAACUUCAAAAUCAAUUAAAAACGCUUUUCAUGACAAUGAAAUUAAAAUCAAAAUAUAUUUUAAUUUUCUGUUGGUAUGAAUACAAUAUGUGUAUUAAAAGUAUGUCCAUAGAAAACGAAGAUCAACAGAAACCCAUUUAAGAUCAGACAUCUUGUAUUCAAAUUCCUGCAAACGUCGUUCUCUUGUAUAAAUAUUGUAAAUAUGUUUCUAAUGAAUAAAUAUAUUUCCUUCCUCAAUUUUUAAUAUACAACCAAAUUUCGUAUAAUCUUAUCUACCUUUAGCACCAUUUACUUUGCCUAAUUUUUAUGAAUAAUUGUAUAUGAAUCUUUUUCGUGCGUGAAUAAAUGGGAAACUUCCUCUCCAACCCCACCCCCGCACCACCCCCACUUUCUACCUCUUACAUGUACCACUCCCCCUCUAUCUAUACUUUGCAUAAAAUUUAAAUGUACGUGCUGGAUUUUUGAAGCAACCCGUCUGUAAUAUUCUUUCUUUACAGCUUCUUUUUGUUGUGGGUCUACUUUGCAAUUGCGUGGCUCUGAUGCUUUGGUUUUUUGUGCUUUGUGCUUCUUAGAAAUCUACCCUUACCUAUUAUCUUUUGCUAUAUUUCCGUUUGUAUUGUUUUGAUAAAAAAUUACCGACAAGAUCACUCCUGGUUGAUCCAUCUUUUUCUCUAACAAAGUAUUUUAUUGACUGCUCCUUAAAUAUAAGAUAGUGCCAUUAAUAUUUACUUCAAAGUGAAGUAAUAGUUACUUUUUAUAGUUUCUAAUAUUUUAGAAUUUUUCAUUGAAACAAUGAUUUAGGUAUUUUAUGUAAUUUCCAUUAACUAACCCAAAGGGUAUCUCAUUUUGCAUAAAAACAACAUAAUCACUUUAAACCUAGAAAUGGUUUUGCGUUUUUCAAGUCCGUGAGUAUCUGCAAAAUUUUAUAGUCGCAAAACAACAAUCUACCAUAAAAACGCGAACGUUUGUAAUUUUCAUCGGUAGUCAAAGUAGUUAAUAUCAAAGAAAGUAGGAGCAAAUGUAUUCUCAAAAUUAUAAUCAAAUGCACAGUUUCCACUUUAAUCAUUCUUUCAUAUACAAAACUCACUAUGCAUUGAUUUGUGAUUACCGACGGUAAAAUAUGAAACGUAAAUUUCGCUCACAAAUGUGUUAAGGAUAGGUGAUUGCUUAUUUGUCCUAUUUAUUUCCAGUGUUAUUUACCGGCGACUAUUUGUUACGUGCGUAGGAUAUUGGGGUUCCGAUGUAUGUCCGCGAAUCUUUGAAGCCACUAAAUCUCCCGUUGACUUAGAAACGCGAAAUAUAGAGUUCGCGAACGUUUCUAGCUUUACAAUUUAUAAAUGUAUCUGUACAUAUUAGAAAUUUACAACAAUUAUAAUGCUUCGAUACUUUAUGGGCGAAAAAAAAUCAAUGUACAUCUAGUGAAGCUGUUAUAUAUUAAAUUGACUAUAUUACAUUUGGUUGGUUAAAAACUGCGAUAGCAGAAUUCAAACGAAAAGGUUUUAGUUAUGCAAAUUUGAUUUUUUAUUUCAUUUUCAAUUUUAAAUGCAUCGAAAAAAUAUCAGAAAAAUUGCAAAACUCUUUUGUCAGGGAAAACCGAACACAGGUUGAAAUAGCUUAGUUUAAUAUUAACAAUUAUUUACAUAUUUUUUAAAAACGAACUCUUACU